UGAUUGGUCUCCUCAAACGUGCAAGCUGUU
This 30-nucleotide non-coding RNA is filed under the name Homo sapiens (human). The record is from RNAcentral. Lineage: Eukaryota; Metazoa; Chordata; Mammalia; Primates; Hominidae.